Molecule: ribosomal RNA, 554 nt
Filed under: Colletotrichum acutatum
Lineage: Eukaryota; Fungi; Ascomycota; Sordariomycetes; Glomerellales; Glomerellaceae
Description: eukaryotic LSU rRNA
Rfam family: 5.8S ribosomal RNA (bases 184-337)
Source: RNAcentral
UACUGAGUUACCGCUCUACAACCCUUUGUGAACAUACCUAACCGUUGCUUCGGCGGGCAGGGGAAGCCUCUCGCGGGCCUCCCCUCCCGGCGCCGGCCCCACCACGGGGACGGGGCGCCCGCCGGAGGAAACCAAACUCUAUUUACACGACGUCUCUUCUGAGUGGCACAAGCAAAUAAUUAAAACUUUUAACAACGGAUCUCUUGGUUCUGGCAUCGAUGAAGAACGCAGCGAAAUGCGAUAAGUAAUGUGAAUUGCAGAAUUCAGUGAAUCAUCGAAUCUUUGAACGCACAUUGCGCUCGCCAGCAUUCUGGCGAGCAUGCCUGUUCGAGCGUCAUUUCAACCCUCAAGCACCGCUUGGUUUUGGGGCCCCACGGCAGACGUGGGCCCUUAAAGGUAGUGGCGGACCCUCCCGGAGCCUCCUUUGCGUAGUAACUAACGUCUCGCACUGGGAUCCGGAGGGACUCUUGCCGUAAAACCCCCAAAUUCUUACAGGUGACCUCGGAUCAGGUAGGAAUACCCGCUGAACUUAAGCAUAUCAAUAAGCGGAGGAA